CGAGGAGCUGCGGGGAUUGGCUGCGGCCGAAGGAAGGGCUGGAAUUCUAUUUGGCGAUUGAGCUGCCCUAGGAAUCCAGCUGGAACCGAUGAAUAAAUUCAAGUUAAGGAAUCUAAAUAACCUUCCUGCGGAUGAUACGGUGUUCCUGCUGCCAGAAAGGGCAACGUGUGAUCUACAGACCUUUAACACAUUGUGUUCUGCUUCUUCUCCUGUUACAACAUCAAUUUUCUCCAGCAAGCAUUUGGGUGAUGGCUUAGAAGAGAAAGCAGC
Long non-coding RNA from Ailuropoda melanoleuca (giant panda), 270 nucleotides. RefSeq lists it as uncharacterized. Lineage: Eukaryota; Metazoa; Chordata; Mammalia; Carnivora; Ursidae. The record is from RefSeq and is a predicted model, not a curated record. The transcript has 3 exons.